Molecule: ribosomal RNA, 1244 nt
Filed under: human gut metagenome
Description: bacterial LSU rRNA
Rfam family: Bacterial large subunit ribosomal RNA
Source: RNAcentral
AUCGAACCCGGAGAUAGCUGGUUCUCCUCGAAAUAGCUUUAGGGCUAGCCUCGAUAGAGUCUUGCGGAGGUAGAGCACUGAAUUUCCUAGGGGGCGUCAAAGCUUACCGAAGAAUAUCAAACUCCGAAUGCCGUGUAGAUGCUUAUCGGGAGUCAGACUAUACGAGAUAAGUUGGAUAGUCAAAAGGGAAAGAGCCCAGACCUCCAGCUAAGGUCCCAAAGUACGUGUUAAGUGGAAAAGGAUGUGGGAUUUCGAAGACAACCAGGAUGUUGGCUCAGAAGCAGCCAUCCAUUCAAAGAGUGCGUAAUAGCUCACUGGUCGAGAGGUCCUGCGCCGAAAAUGUCCGGGGCUGAAACACGACACCGAAGCUGAGGAAUGUCUGAAGACAUUGGUAGAGGAGCAUUGGAUACGCAACGAAGCAGUACCGGAAGGAGCUGUGGAGUGUAUCGAAGAGAGAAUGCCGGAAUGAGUAGCGAGAGAGAGGUGGGAAUCCUCUCGGCCGAAUAUCUAAGGUUUCCAGGGUAAAGCUGAUCUGCCCUGGGUAAGUCGGGGCCUAAGGCGAGGACGAGAGUCGUAGCCGAUGGACAACAGGUUGAGAUUCCUGUACUGCAGUAAGACAGAACUGUGGGGACACGUGUGGAGAGCAUAGGCGCGGAAUGGAAAGCCGCGUGCAAGCGAGGUAGGAGUCCUGUAGGAAAAACCGCAGGGCAAUCCGAAGGCGUGAUGCGGACCGAAAUCUAGUAGGGAAGUAUGUGAGCCAUGCGUCAAGAAAAGCCGCUAUUGUUCUUAUUGUACCCGUACCGUAAACCGACACAGGUGGAUGAGGAGAGAAUCCUAAGGCCGACGGAAGAAGCAUUGUUAAGGAACUCGGCAAAAUGACCCCGUAACUUCGGGAGAAGGGGUGCCACAGAAAUGUGGCCGCAGAGAAUAGGCUCAAGCAACUGUUUAGCAAAAACACAGGUCUAUGCAAAACCGAAAGGUGAGGUAUAUGGGCUGACGCCUGCCCGGUGCUGGAAGGUUAAGAGGAGAGGUUAGCGCAAGCGAAGCUUUGAAUUUAAGCCCCAGUAAACGGCGGCCGUAACUAUAACGGUCCUAAGGUAGCGAAAUUCCUUGUCGGGUAAGUUCCGACCCGCACGAAAGGCGUAAUGAUUUGAGCGCUGUCUCGACAAUGCAUCCGGUGAAAUUGAAGUACCAGUGAAGAUGCUGGUUACCUGCGCCAGGACGGAAAGACCCCAUGGAGCUUU